UGCUAGUUCUUGUCAUAACUGCCAGAGGGU
RNAcentral lists this non-coding RNA (30 nucleotides) under Rattus norvegicus (Norway rat). Lineage: Eukaryota; Metazoa; Chordata; Mammalia; Rodentia; Muridae. The record is from RNAcentral.